CAAUACUGAGUGGCAAACGGGUGAGUAUAAUGUAGGAAUCUACCUUUUGGUUUGGAAUAACACGGGGAAACUUGUGCUAAUACCGAAUAAGCCUUUACGGGGAAAGUUUUAAUUCCGAAAGAUGAGCCUGCACUUGAUUAGCUAGUUGGUAAGGUAAAAGCUUACCAAGGCAACGAUCAAUAGCUGUUCUUAGAGGAAGACCAGCCACAUUGGGACUGAGACACGGCCCAGACUCCUACGGGAGGCAGCAGUGGGGAAUCUUGCACAAUGGGGGAAACCCUGAUGCAGCGAUGCCGCGUGAGUGAAGAAGGCCCUUGGGUUGUAAAACUCUUUCGUCGGGGAAGAAAAUGACUGUACCCGAAUAAGAAGGUCCGGCUAACUUCGUGCCAGCAGCCGCGGUAAUAUGAAGGGACCUAGCGUAGUUCGGAAUUACUGGGCUUAAAGAGCUCGUAGGUGGUUAAAAAAGUUGAUGGUGAAAUCCCAAGGCUCAACCUUGGAACUGCCAUCAAAACUUUUUAGCUAGAGUGUGAUAGAGGUAAGUGGAAUUUCUAGUGUAGAGGUGAAAUUCGUAGAUAUUAGAAAGAACACCAAAUGCGAAGGCAACUUACUGGAUCAUUACUGACACUGAGGAGCGAAAGCAUGGGUAGCGAAGAGGAUUAGAUACCCUCGUAGUCCAUGCCGUAAACGAUGUGUGCUAGACGUUGGAAAUAUAUUUUUCAGUGUCGCAGCGAAAGCAUUAAGCACACCGCCUGGGGAGUACGACCGCAAGGUUAAAACUCAAAUGAAUUGACGG
This 793-nucleotide ribosomal RNA is filed under the name uncultured bacterium. RNAcentral describes it as "bacterial SSU rRNA". It matches the Rfam family "Bacterial small subunit ribosomal RNA", at positions 86 to 916 of the family's 1533-position model. The record is from RNAcentral.